GGUGGCUCAGUGGUAAAGUGCUUGCCUCGCAUGCAUGAGGCCUGGGUUCGAUUCCUCAGCACCA
Molecule: transfer RNA, 64 nt
Filed under: Dipodomys ordii (Ord's kangaroo rat)
Lineage: Eukaryota; Metazoa; Chordata; Mammalia; Rodentia; Heteromyidae
Rfam family: tRNA
About the family: Transfer RNA (tRNA) molecules are approximately 80 nucleotides in length.
Source: Rfam by way of RNAcentral